This 300-nucleotide ribosomal RNA is filed under the name uncultured Halomonas sp. RNAcentral's name for it is "bacterial SSU rRNA". It matches the Rfam family "Bacterial small subunit ribosomal RNA", at positions 496 to 795 of the family's 1533-position model. The record is from RNAcentral. Lineage: Bacteria; Pseudomonadati; Pseudomonadota; Gammaproteobacteria; Oceanospirillales; Halomonadaceae.
GUGUGUGACGGGCCAGCAGCGCGUGGAAUACGGAUGUUGGGAGGGUUAUCCGGAAUUACUAGGUGGAAAGCGUGGGGAGGGGGGUGUGUAGGUAAGGGGUGAAAGCGCGUGGUUUAGCGGGUAGGGGACGUGCAAGACGGCUAGGCUGGAGGGGGAGAGAGGGGUGCAGAAUUCCCGGUGUAUGGGUGGAAUGCGUAGAUAUCGGGAUGAAUACCAGUGGCGAAAGCGGCGCCCUGGCUCGCACCUGACACUGAGGCGCGAAAGCGUGGGGAGCGAACGGGAUUAGAUACCCGAGUAGUC